CUCCUUUAAAAACUUCUUCGGACUGCAAGGCUUUCUGGGUAUGUAGUCAUGGCUUGCAAAGGAUCUUCUGCAUAAUUCACAGGUAUCAGCAUCAGGUAUCUUUUAUCAGGGAGCAGCAGAAACAGUCACGGUUGGAACGAUGUCUACAAAACUACAUUGAAACACUGGGAUGGAUGAUGGCAUGGGGGGGUAGCGGGGUCUGUGCUUAUGUUCACUCUUAUAUUUUAGAAGCACAGACCAGGUAACGUUAAAGCAACAUUGAACACGGGGUGCAGAUGUUGGGUUUCGGCUGUUUGAGUUGUUUGAUAGGCUGUGUCAUUAACAAGCAAGCAGCUCACCUGCUGCCGUGAUAAUGGAUCGCGGGUGGAAAAAUUGUUCAGUAUGUGCUGGCACUAAAAUAUCUCCAUACUAGGGUCUAAGGAUGGAGGGUCUCAUUUGCUGUACAGAGUGUAAAGCUCCUGAGGCAAAUUUGUGAUUUGUUGUUUUGGGCUAUAUAAAUAAACUUGACUUAAUUUGACUUGCCUGCAACUGGUCAGAGCCAAAAAUAGUCACGUAAUGUGA
This is a long non-coding RNA of Micropterus dolomieu (smallmouth bass), 561 nucleotides long. RefSeq lists it as uncharacterized. The transcript has 2 exons. Lineage: Eukaryota; Metazoa; Chordata; Actinopteri; Centrarchiformes; Centrarchidae. The record is from RefSeq and is a predicted model, not a curated record.